This 255-nucleotide ribosomal RNA is filed under the name uncultured bacterium. RNAcentral describes it as "partial 16S ribosomal RNA". It matches the Rfam family "Bacterial small subunit ribosomal RNA", at positions 524 to 776 of the family's 1533-position model. The record is from RNAcentral.
UACGAAGGGGGCUAGGCGUUGCUCGGAAUCACUGGGCUUAAAGGGCGCGAUAGGCGGGCCGCAAAGUCAGGGGUGAAAUCCUCCAGCUCAACUGGAGAACUGCUUUUGAUACUGGCGGUCUUGAGUGGGGUAGGGGCAUGCGGAACAAUGGGUGGAGCGGUGAAAUGCGUUGAUAUCCAUUGGAACUCCGGUGGCGAAAGCGGCGUGCUGGACCUCUACUGACGCUGAGACGCGAAAGCGUGGGGAGCGAACAGG